UCUAGUGAGGAGGAUCUCCAAAAUGUUAAUGAUUAAAAUUGUUAUAUAUCCAGAUUAAGCAUUGUUCAGUUAAAUUUUAGAUCUAAAUAUUCAUAGUUAUAUCACUUGUCUUACUCUAUUAGUCAUUAUUAUUUGUUUGAUUAAACCUAGUGUGCAUGCGUAUGUGUUAUAAUGUAAUUCUGCAUAUAUAGACAUGUCUGAUGCUGGUGGCAAGAUUGUUCUACGGAUUAUCGGGGGUUGUUUUACCCCAGAUGGUCAUAGAGUAGCUGCAUACAUCACCUCGAAAUUUAAAGAGCGAUUUAGUCCCGCUGGUACUACAUGGAAGCGGGUAGACCCAGAUAUGAAGCAAUUUUAUUACGAUGAGUUUUUGAAAAGAUAUACUUGGGAGAUAGAGC
Molecule: long non-coding RNA, 395 nt
Organism: Zingiber officinale
Lineage: Eukaryota; Viridiplantae; Streptophyta; Magnoliopsida; Zingiberales; Zingiberaceae
Exons: 3
Source: RefSeq, a predicted model, not a curated record